RNAcentral lists this unclassified non-coding RNA (200 nucleotides) under soil metagenome. RNAcentral describes it as "partial contains internal transcribed spacer 2 and large subunit ribosomal RNA". The record is from RNAcentral.
UAUCACCCCUCAAGCCCGGCUUGUUGCUGAGCGACGGCGGUCGUCGAUCGAUCGCCCGCCCCAAAGAUAAUGAGGCGUCCGUGAGGACUCCAGUACACUGAGCUUCUUCGGAGCACGUAUUGGCGAGGACUCCAGGCCCGGUCUUGACUAUUUAUUCAAAAGUUGACCUCGGAUCAGGUAGGGAUACCCGCUGAACUUAA